Molecule: ribosomal RNA, 447 nt
Filed under: uncultured bacterium
Lineage: Bacteria
Description: bacterial SSU rRNA
Rfam family: Bacterial small subunit ribosomal RNA
Source: RNAcentral
UGGGGAAUUUUUCGCAAUGGGCGCAAGCCUGAUCCAGCCAUACCGCGUGAGUGACGAAGGUCUUCGGAUUGUAAAGCUCUUUUGGCGGGGACGAUAAUGACGGUACCCGCAGAAUAAGCCCCGGCUAACUUCGUGCCAGCAGCCGCGGUAAUACGAAGGGGGCUAGCGUUGUUCGGAAUUACUGGGCGUAAAGCGCACGUAGGCGGACUCUUAAGUCAGGGGUGAAAUCCCGGGGCUCAACCUCGGAACUGCCCUUGAUACUGUGAGUCUCGAGACCGGAAGAGGUGAGUGGAAUUCCUAGUGUAGAGGUGAAAUUCGUAGAUAUUAGGAAGAACACCAGUGGCGAAGGCGGCUCACUGGUCCGGUUCUGACGCUGAGGUGCGAAAGCGUGGGGAGCAAACAGGAUUAGAUACCCAAGUAGUCCCUGAGCGGGCUGGCAAGGCGCAU